RNAcentral lists this long non-coding RNA (349 nucleotides) under Androctonus crassicauda. Lineage: Eukaryota; Metazoa; Arthropoda; Arachnida; Scorpiones; Buthidae. The record is from RNAcentral.
CCUUCUCAGAUGACAGUGCCCUGUGAGGAGCUCCAUAAUAAUCCUAGCUUUAUUUUUAUGCAAUGCAAGCAACUCUUAAGGUCUCUGUGCAGGAGAGCUUAAAAUGAGAGCUCUCACUUGCCUAAAUCCAGGAGUAGACCUCCAAUGAAUGAGGUGCUGAGCUAUCAACCAGGCCCUGAUAACCCACUCAAUUUCAUCAAAUCUGUCCAGGGCAGACUUGGGUCCAAUAAAGGUACGAGAAGCCUCUUCCUUGGCCAGCCAUCAGCAACCUCAUUGCCCUCAAUCUCUCUGUGCCCUGACAUCAAAACAAGUUGCAUCCUGUUCCUGGUAGCUAGUUCCUCAAUGAGAA